UACGGGGGGGGCAAGCGUUGUUCGGAAUUACUGGGCGUAAAGGGUUCGUAGGUGGCCUACUAAGUCAUACGUGAAAUCCCUCAGCUUAACUGGGGAACUGCGUCUGAGACUGGAAGGCUUGAGUGCAGGAGAGGAACGCGGAAUUCCAGGUGUAGCGGUGAAAUGCGUAGAUAUCUGGAGGAACACCGGUGGCGAAGGCGGCGUUCUGGACUGCAACUGACACUGAGGAACGAAAGCCAGGGGAGCAAACGGG
This 253-nucleotide ribosomal RNA is filed under the name uncultured bacterium. RNAcentral's name for it is "partial 16S ribosomal RNA". It matches the Rfam family "Bacterial small subunit ribosomal RNA", at positions 524 to 776 of the family's 1533-position model. The record is from RNAcentral.